RNAcentral lists this ribosomal RNA (468 nucleotides) under uncultured bacterium. RNAcentral describes it as "partial 16S ribosomal RNA". It matches the Rfam family "Bacterial small subunit ribosomal RNA", at positions 28 to 507 of the family's 1533-position model. The record is from RNAcentral.
GACGAACGCUGGCGGCGUGCUUAACACAUGCAAGUCGAACGGAAAGGCCCUGCUUUUGUGGGGUGCUCGAGUGGCGAACGGGUGAGUAACACGUGAGUAACCUGCCCUUGACUUUGGGAUAACUUCAGGAAACUGGGGCUAAUACCGGAUAGGAGCUCCUGCUGCAUGGUGGGGGUUGGAAAGUUUCGGCGGUUGGGGAUGGACUCGCGGCUUAUCAGCUUGUUGGUGGGGUAGUGGCUUACCAAGGCUUUGACGGGUAGCCGGCCUGGGAGGGUGACCGGCCACAUUGGGACUGAGAUACGGCCCAGACUCCUACGGGAGGCAGCAGUUGGGAAUAUUGCACAAUGGGCGGAAGCCUGAUGCAGCAACGCCGCGUGCGGGAUGACGGCCUUCGGGUUGUAAACCGCUUUCGCCUGUGACGAAGCGUGAGUGACGGUAAUGGGUAAAGAAGCACCGGCUAACUACGUG